ACUUUUUUUUUUUUUUAAAAAAAAUGAACUAAUACUUAUGUUUCAAAAGUGAUAGUUUGAGACUUCUCAAGUUUAUAUAUUAAGCUUAAGAUUACCAACUUUAUAUAAUUAAGGUUAAGAAAACCAUAUUUUCCAAUAAAAUUUUCACCACAACUAGAAAAUGCGAGGAGAUAUGCUAGAGAAUCUUCAUCACAGUGCUCUAUUGCUCUGAAAUAAAAAUCUUCUAGCACUUCCAAUUUCAUUAGAACAUGGUUUAUUUUUUGGGGGAGCCUAUGCUCAGCUGCCAUACUAAAGAUAUUUAUGAAUGCCACUCUAUGCUAGGGUCCUCCCAAUGCUCAAGGCUACUCUAUUUGUGAGGGUUGGGGGAAGGUCACAUAUUGUACAUGCCAUUCCCCUUGCUUUUUGCAUAGGCUUUUUCCACAAGUCAUCCCCUAAUGAAUGCCAUUCUAUGCUACUGAACCUUAACUUCCAUUGAAGUUUCAACUACACACACGGUGCUUUCUAUUGCUACCUAAAAUGUGUAGCAUUCUACAAACAACACUUUCCACACAGAUACUUCAAGUUAUGCUUACAACAAGAUGUUCAUCUCCCUCCGAUUGCCACACUAAGUCAUUCAUCCAAGGUUUGUCCCAAAAUAGAGGAUUAGUUCAAUUCAGGUACCUGAUGUAUUAUGAAUCCUUAAGUGGCUAACACAUCAAAAUCAGGUGAUGAUUCAACUAAGGCUUUAAUCUCCAAAGGUUUUUCUCAACUUUCACUUUUUAAUUUAUUCAUACUACAUUUAAGUUCUUCCGAGUGCCUUGAAUUCACCAUCAAGUGCUUUACUUGAGCAAACUUGGAGGUAUUUGUUGGUUACAUAAUUGACGAAAAACCACAUUUAGUUCCACUUGCCUUAGCCAGAUAAGUGCUGUAAUCAAUAUAUAGAUAUUAUUGCUGCUUAAAGAUCACAUUCAUGCCAUUCCUGUUGGCUUAAAACAGGCAAAGAAUAAUUUGACCAAUUGAUUUUCGAAGGGAAAGACUCCAUGAAACCAAAUGAAGAUGUCCACAAAAGGACCAAUCCAGAAAUUUUAGACAAAAUAUUGGACAAUUUGAAGUAAUAUGAGUAGCCGUUUGUGAAUGGGCAUGCUGUUGGUGAUACUAUGCAUAAUUUGUUAAGAUUCUUUAAGGGUUUCUGUUCAUUUCUCUCCUUUUUUUUCCUCCUAAGGAGAAGCGGAAAAUCUAUUUUCUUUUCAUUGCCAACAUUCUUGUUUCUGAUUAAGAGCAUUACCAGGUGCAAUGCUAAAGUCUUAACUUAUGAUUGCAUAGAUCUACACAAGUUCGUUAACAACCACCUCAUGCAAAACUGGGAAUAUGCAGGAUGAUGUCCCAAAUCUAAAUUAUUCUUAAUAACCCCAAUUCGUUAGGGGCAAUUGCUGAUUAAUGGCUUGGUUAACAAAUUCCUAGGUGCCAUAUCUACAAAGUACAAAAUGUCCAAACUCAAGGUGGAAAUUUGGGGGGAGUAGAAAUUCCAUGUCUAACACAUGUUAUAUGGUAAUUUUAGCAACCUCUCAACUACUCACAAGGGCUCCUAGUCCCAGCACUCUUUCCAACUGAACUAACACAUUUGAUAAGUGACAUCAUAUACCUAGUUAAUGUAGUAUAUUGAUCAAUUUACACAUAACUCUAUCAAAGAUAAAAGUUCUAGAGAAAACCUGUUUCCAAGAUGGUGUGAGCGG
RNAcentral lists this unclassified non-coding RNA (1712 nucleotides) under Hevea brasiliensis (rubber tree). The record is from RNAcentral. Lineage: Eukaryota; Viridiplantae; Streptophyta; Magnoliopsida; Malpighiales; Euphorbiaceae.